GAGUCGAUAGCUCAGUCGGUAGAGCAUCUCCCUUUUAAGGAGAGGGUCCCGGGUUCGAGCCCCGGUCGACUCA
Transfer RNA from Leptonema illini DSM 21528, 73 nucleotides. It matches the Rfam family "tRNA". Rfam says of the family: Transfer RNA (tRNA) molecules are approximately 80 nucleotides in length. Their secondary structure includes four short double-helical elements and three loops (D, anti-codon, and T loops). The record is from Rfam. Lineage: Bacteria; Pseudomonadati; Spirochaetota; Leptospiria; Leptospirales; Leptospiraceae.